GGUGUACUGAUUUUCAUAUACAUGCAUGUGAAAAAUGUCACUUUCUUUUGUUACAUAUGUAAUUGUUUGUGUAAUCGCUACAUAUGUAACUUAUUUUAAUGUUACAUAUGUCAGUGUUUAUGUUAUGUGAUAGAAAGCUGAUUAAUGUUACUCUUUUUCAGUUUAAUAUGACAUGUGUAGCUGUUUUUGUAAUGCUAUAUAUGUAACUAUUUUUGUAAUGCUACAUAUGUAACUGUUUUUUGUAAUGCUACAUAUGUAACUGUUUUUUGUAAUGCUACAUAUGUAACUGUUUUUGCUAUUUGGCGUGUGUAACUUUUUUAAUGCAAUGCUAUAUGUGUAGCUGUUUUUGUAAUGCUACAUGUGUAACUGUUUUUGCAAUGUUACAUAUGUAACUGUUUUUGCAAUGUUACAUAAUGUAACUGUUUUUGCAAUGUUACAUAUGUAACUGUUUUUGCAAUGUUACAUAUGUAACUGCUUAGAUGUAAGAUUACAUAUAUAUGCAAUUAUUAUAUUACAUAGAUGUGUAUGUAACAACAGUUUUUGAAAUUAUUAAAUGUUUUUCUAUCUCACUUUUG
This 575-nucleotide long non-coding RNA is filed under the name Mytilus galloprovincialis (Mediterranean mussel). The record is from RNAcentral. Lineage: Eukaryota; Metazoa; Mollusca; Bivalvia; Mytilida; Mytilidae.